GGGGAGAUACCGAAGUGGUCAAACGGGGCAGACUGUAAAUCUGCUGGCUUACGCCUUCGCAGGUUCGAGCCCUGCUCUCCCCA
Molecule: transfer RNA, 83 nt
Filed under: Flavobacteriales bacterium
Lineage: Bacteria; Pseudomonadati; Bacteroidota; Flavobacteriia; Flavobacteriales
Description: tRNA-Tyr
Rfam family: tRNA
About the family: Transfer RNA (tRNA) molecules are approximately 80 nucleotides in length. Their secondary structure includes four short double-helical elements and three loops (D, anti-codon, and T loops).
Source: RNAcentral